Molecule: ribosomal RNA, 301 nt
Filed under: uncultured bacterium
Lineage: Bacteria
Description: partial 16S ribosomal RNA
Rfam family: Bacterial small subunit ribosomal RNA
Source: RNAcentral
CAGCCGCCGCGGGAACACGUAGGUGGCAAGCGUUGUCCGGAAUUAUUGGGCGUAAAGGGCUCGCAGGCGGUUUCUUAAGUCUGAUGUGAAAGCCCCCGGCUCAACCGGGGAGGGUCAUUGGAAACUGGGAAACUUGAGUGCAGAAGAGGAGAGUGGAAUUCCACGUGUAGCGGUGUAAUGCGUAGAGAUGUGGAGGAACACCAGUGGCGAAGGCGACUCUCUGGUCUGUAACUGACGCUGAGGAGCGAAAGCGUGGGGAGCGAACAGGAUUAGAUACCCCAGUAGUCCCUGUCUCUUAUAC